GUGCUCAUUUAAAAUGCAGCACAUAAAACUAAAAUCAGAACAAUACGGAGAAGAUUAACACGACCCCUGAUUAACACGAUCUUGCACAAGGAUGAUGUGCAAAUUCAUGAAGUGUUCCACAUUUAA
Molecule: small nuclear RNA, 126 nt
Organism: Ailuropoda melanoleuca (giant panda)
Lineage: Eukaryota; Metazoa; Chordata; Mammalia; Carnivora; Ursidae
Source: Ensembl